AGUUUUAAUAAUUUAACAAAAAUAGUAGUCUUGUAAACUAAAAUUAGGAAAAUUACCUUUAAAACU
This 66-nucleotide transfer RNA is filed under the name Alobaldia tobae. RNAcentral's name for it is "tRNA-Thr". Lineage: Eukaryota; Metazoa; Arthropoda; Insecta; Hemiptera; Cicadellidae. The record is from RNAcentral.